GGAAAAUCGACUUUGAUAAGCUCAUUAACAGACACUGCUCUCUACUGCAAUGAACGAUUGUUUGCCACAUUAGAUCCUAGACUAAAGAGUGUUGCUCUUCCUUCCGGAAGGAAAGUGCUUCUUAGUGACACCGUGGGAUUCAUAUCAGAUCUACCUGUGCAGGUAAAAGGAUAGUAUGGAUUGAAUCUUGU
Long non-coding RNA from Tarenaya hassleriana, 191 nucleotides. RefSeq lists it as uncharacterized. The record is from RefSeq and is a predicted model, not a curated record. Lineage: Eukaryota; Viridiplantae; Streptophyta; Magnoliopsida; Brassicales; Cleomaceae. The transcript is spliced from 3 exons.